RNAcentral lists this long non-coding RNA (304 nucleotides) under Nicotiana benthamiana. Its description in RNAcentral is "long non-coding RNA (NBEN_LNC020952)". The record is from RNAcentral. Lineage: Eukaryota; Viridiplantae; Streptophyta; Magnoliopsida; Solanales; Solanaceae.
AAAGAGAACCAAAUGAAACCCAUCCUGUCGAUGGAUUAUAAAUAUCAUAUUACUUAAUAAGCAAUACUAAUCUAAGGAAUACCGCUCAAAGAGAUCAAAUAUUGUUGAUAUUGUAUCAUGGAAUAUUUAUCUUGACAAGAAUUUAUCUACUUGAUAAAAUAUGUAUCACAAGCACUAAGGGCUAUAGCUUAGUUGGUAGAGCAACUCGUUUACACGCGCGCCAAUGUUUUAAAGGGAGUUCAUCAUACAAUCAGAAAAAUUGAUCUUGUUGAGAAAUCGAUGUCUUACUCCAUAACUUUGAGGG